RNAcentral lists this ribosomal RNA (465 nucleotides) under uncultured bacterium. RNAcentral's name for it is "partial 16S ribosomal RNA". It matches the Rfam family "Bacterial small subunit ribosomal RNA", at positions 338 to 795 of the family's 1533-position model. The record is from RNAcentral.
CCUACGGGAGGCAGCAGUAGGGAAUCUUCCACAAUGGGCGAAAGCCUGAUGGAGCAACGCCGCGUGGGUGAAGAAGGUCUUCGGAUCGUUAAACCCUGUUGUUAGAGAAGAAAGUGCGUGAGAGUAACUGUUCACGUUUCGACGGUAUCUAACCAGAAAGCCCCGGCUAACUACGUGCCAGCAGCCGCGGUAAUACGUAGGUGGCAAGCGUUAUCCGGAUUUAUUGGGCGUAAAGGGAGCGCAGGCGGGCUUUUAAGUCUGAUGUGAAAGCCUUCGGCUUAACCGGAGUAGUGCAUUGGAAACUGGGGGACUUGAGUGCAGAAGAGGAGAGUGGAACUCCAUGUGUAGCGGUGAAAUGCGUAGAUAUAUGGAAGAACACCAGUGGCGAAGGCGGCUCUCUGGUCUGUAACUGACGCUGAGGUUCGAAAGCGUGGGUAGCAAACAGGAUUAGAUACCCGUGUAGUC